AUGCUUGGACAGGCAUGCAAAUCUUUUCUCUUAAUGGCGCAGACAGGGUUUCUGAUUUUUCUCCUUGUUACCACACUUUUACUGGAUCAGACAGCUGGCUACUCUUCUUCCAAAGCCAGGAAGCAUAGCAAACGGAGGGUGAAAGAAAAAGAUGGAGACCUAAAGAGUCAAAUCAGCAAGCUCUGGCAAGAGGUAAACUCCUUGAAAGAAAUGCAAGCCCUGCAGACAGUUUGCCUGCGUGGAACAAAGGUGCACAAGAAAUGUUACUUGGCGUCUGAGGGAGGCAAACAUUUCCACGAAGCAAAUGAAGACUGCAUAGCCAAAGGGGGGACCCUGGCCAUCCCCAGAGANGGCGAUGAAACCAGCGCUCUCCGCGACUACAGCCGAAAGAGCUUGCCCGGGGUGACAGAUUUUUGGGUGGGUGUCACAGACAUGGUGAAUGAGGGGAAAUUUGUAGAUGUCAAUGGAAUGGUCCUCAACUACUUUAACUGGGACCGGUCACAGCCCAACGGAGGAAAGCGGGAAAACUGUGUCUUAUUCUCUCAGUCAGCUCAAGGGAANUGGGCAGAUGAAGCCUGCCGUACUGUGAAGCAAUAUAUUUGUGAAUUCCUGAUUCCUUAA
RNAcentral lists this long non-coding RNA (621 nucleotides) under Salvator merianae (Argentine black and white tegu). Its description in RNAcentral is "lncRNA (ENSSMRG00000011493.1)". Lineage: Eukaryota; Metazoa; Chordata; Lepidosauria; Squamata; Teiidae. The record is from RNAcentral.